Molecule: ribosomal RNA, 586 nt
Filed under: Rhodotorula mucilaginosa
Lineage: Eukaryota; Fungi; Basidiomycota; Microbotryomycetes; Sporidiobolales; Sporidiobolaceae
Description: eukaryotic LSU rRNA
Rfam family: Eukaryotic large subunit ribosomal RNA
Source: RNAcentral
CAUCGUCAUGACAUCUGUACGGUGAGUGUGCGGCUUAGCUCAAAUUGCUUAUCCGGCACCUUCCGCGGCCGAGUUGGCAUUCCCAGAAGGUUUCUUUUCCUCCGCUUAUUGAUAUGCAUGUUGGAAUACAGCGGCAUAGUGGUGAGACCCCCGUAUAUGGUGCGGACGCCCAGCGCUUUGUGAUACAUUUUCGAAGAGUCGAGUUGUUUGGGAAUGCAGCUCAAAUUGGGUGGUAAAUUCCAUCUAAAGCUAAAUAUUGGCGAGAGACCGAUAGCGAACAAGUACCGUGAGGGAAAGAUGAAAAGCACUUUGGAAAGAGAGUUAACAGUACGUGAAAUUGUUGGAAGGGAAACGCUUGAAGUCAGACUUGCUUGCCGAGCAAUCGGUUUGCAGGCCAGCAUCAGUUUUCCGGGAUGGAUAAUGGUAGAGAGAAGGUAGCAGUUUCGGCUGUGUUAUAGCUCUCUGCUGGAUACAUCUUGGGGGACUGAGGAACGCAGUGUGCCUUUUGGCGGGGGUUUCGACCUCUUCACACUUAGGAUGCUGGUGGAAUGGCUUUAAACGACCCGUCUUGAAACACAGACCCAAA